UCCCAGCAGUCCAAGUCGCAGCCACAAUUGUUGGGUCUAAAACAUCCGUAGCUUGCCCUGUAAGUCUUGUGUGAAAUCUGGCCUCUUAAGGGUCGGGCGUGCACAAGAUACUGCUUGGCUAGAGACCGGGAGACGUUAGGAGUACGCAUAGGGAAGCGGUAAAAUGUGUUGAUCCUAUGUGGACUAACAAUAGCGAAGGCACCUAACGAGAACGGAUCUGACAGUGAGGGAUGAAGGCGAGGGGCGCAAAGUG
This 253-nucleotide ribosomal RNA is filed under the name uncultured archaeon. Its description in RNAcentral is "partial 16S ribosomal RNA". It matches the Rfam family "Archaeal small subunit ribosomal RNA", at positions 474 to 726 of the family's 1478-position model. The record is from RNAcentral.